AUAUGCGGUGAUUGGCAGGUCCGCUGGCCCCGCCCCUUCCGCUUCUCAGGCCUGACCUUCCUGCCGCCCGUAGCUGAGCCGCUACUGCCGCGUUUUCGCGAUUCGACCCGACGCGCCCCCUCUCGCGACAUCAUGGUGGCGUACUGGCGACAGGCUGGACUCAGGUAGGCCCGGGCCUCUGGAGGGAAGCGCACGGGCCCGGCGCCAGAGUCGCGGCGGGGGUAGCCGGCGCGUGGCCUGGCCCUCCCCACCGGCCUCCGGGCCUCGGCGCCGCCGCCAAGAUGGCGUCGCUGUGGACAAGGGCUGCCGGCCUACAGGCCCCGGAGGAUGCGGACGCCGGGGGGCGGGCCCGGCGCGGGCAGUGCACCCUAGUGCAUCGGCUGCACACACGGACAGCCCCGCAGCAUGCCCUCUUUUGUUACCCCUUGACCUCGGUGUCCUUGUGGAAAAGGGUGGAAGCCCCCUCUGAGUUGUUCAGACCUGCAAAGCACAGUGGUGGCCUGGGGGGGGGGGGCGUUCAAGUGUGCAGCGGCCGCCCCGUGUGCAGUGGGAAAGUGGGAACCUGUGGUCCUAGUGACACACCUUGCGAGUUGGCUAGAUUUGAGUAGUGGUAACUUCCCCAGCUACUGAGUAGCCCGAGUUUCCUGACGUGGUAAGGUCAAGUAAAGUACGAUGAACUUGAAAAACAAUAACAAACCAUUUAUUAAACCACCUACUAUGUGAUCCAAGGUUUUUCACACUUUGUACCACCCAGACCCUUUCAGGGCAGGUAUUAUUAUUCUUUUAUUCUAUUGUUUUUACAGGUGAAUAAACAAGCUGACAAGGGCUGAGCAGCCUGCAAGUCACCCAGUUAGUAGGAGUAGAAGCAGGAAUUGGAACUCUUUACUUCUGACUCCUAAAAACAAGUUCUAAGACAUGAGCAGUAGCUACCACCAUCCACUUCCUGUUUUCAAACAAAGUGUGAAAAGUGACCAGCAUCUUUUGGGAAAAUAAGAUGUUGCUAGAAAUCCAGCUACCAAACAGGGAGCAGAUAAUUUAGAUAUUCUGCUAGAAUUGAUGGUGUUCUCUGAGGACUUUUCGUAAUUUAGAAACCUUGAUUAGGAGAUAUUUUCAAUGACAGGCUUGUGAGAGACAGUCUAGUAUUCUCAGGAAAGCCUUUAAAUAUUUAUCAGAGAAAGAGCUGUUUGGGUUCAAGAUAGUUUUUUUCUCUGUUAAUUAUAAAUACCUUAUCUUGUAAGAAUAAUACAGUUAAACAGGUUUUAAGUAAAAUGGGAAAAUCAUUUGUGUUGUAUCCUCCAAAAACAUUUUGGUCUGAUUUUUGGUUGUUUGUUUGCAAGUCAAACAGCCUACAAGUCACCCAGUUAGUAGAAGUAGAAGCAGGCAUUGGAACUCUGACUCCUAAAAACAGGUUCUAAGACAUGAGUGUCACCCCUUCCCCCGUGUUGUGGGAUUUUUUUUUUUUAAAUAUUUAUGCCCCUUUUACUGUAAGUUAAAAUCAUGAUCAUUGAACCAAAAAAAAUCAGUUGCUCUUUUGGCACAUUUCUUUCUUUUUGUGUGUGUGUAGAGGUUUCCUUUGAAAUUAGUUUUAAAUCCAAUUCUGCAAUAAUGUCCGACUAAACCAAAAUUAAAAGUUUAGGAAAGAAACCAAAAACACAGUAACACAGCUGUCUGGCAGGAUUAUUGAUAAUUAACAUAUCUUCUCUCAUUUUCUCCCAGCUACAUCCGAUACUCUCAGAUCUGUGCAAAAGCAGUGAGGGAUGCACUGAAGGCAGAAUUCAAAGCAAAUGCCGAGAAGACUUCUGGCAGCAGCAUAAAAAUUGUGAAAGUAAAAAAGGAAUAAUCAGUAAGUUAUGGAUUUAUUUAGAAGAAGAGUUGCAUCUUAAAUUUUUAGAGCCACAUAAAAAUCAAACUAAUUCUAGUUCGGGCUUCUGUUCAUUUUUUUAGUCAGCGCAUUUCAAAGUUAGUUAUUGGAGUAAUAAUUUAAAAUAUAUAGGGUGUAGAAGUACUGUGGCAUGAUAAAAGGAUGUCCUUUUGGGCCCUGACAAGCAGAAGUAAUUGGCAUAUUGAUUUUCAGUUCAUUUAGCAAUGCUUAGGUAGAAAGCCAUCUUAUUUUAAUUAAACCUGUUUCAUUUGUCUGCACAAAAUCAAAUAAUUUGGAGGAUAAACUCCUCACUUUUCUAAUUGCUAUUGGAGUUAUGUAACAGUUCAAGAGCAUGAAAAAUUACAGCUCUUUGCGUUUUUAUUUCCCCCACAUCUGCUAAUGUCCUCACAAAUCACCAUUUCCUGAACAUAAGGACUGCGAGUACAGCAAGGGUCCUGCUGUUUUACUGAGCAGUAAAAUCUGCAAGACCCUGCAGUGAAUACUGUUUUGCUGAAUUUAUUAUGCUUUCAGACUGUUUGGUUCAUUUUAGUUCUGCAAAGAUGUUGGUGAUGUAAAGUUUCAUUCUUAUGCAAUAAAAAGACAGUUCUGUACAGUUGAUAAGUUCAGGCGUUUGUACUCCAAACUAUAAAAGUGAUUUGAUCUCUCAGCCACUUUCUUGACAUUGUUAUUUCAAAGAUAAGGCAAAUUAUCAAAGCAGUGUUUUUCAGAUUGAAUUUUCUUGUUUUGCUUUUAAAAAGCUGCAGACACACUGUAGCAUAGAAGUGUGGUAGACAUUAACCCUUUGGCAACUCAUGGAUACAAGCAGUUUCACUUGAUGGAGCUGUCUCCUCUAAGCACUUUUCAUUCUCAUUUUGAAUUGGUAGAUAUUAAGAGUCUAGAAAUGUGGUGUUUUGAAUUGAGUCCUUUUUUAGGGGCUGUCUAAUCUCCUAAGUUCAUAGGAGACCUAAGAAUAUCACUUAGUCUAUACAGUAGUGCUGUGCCAGACACUGCAUCUGACUCCUGUGACUUUGCUGUGUCUUUGGGGUCAAUAAGUUCUGUUCAGCUCAGCAGUGAGGACCCUCUCCAUCAGCACCAGGGAUAUUGAUGUCUUUAAAAGGCAAAGUAGUUCCUUUCUUCCUAGGCAAGUGUUAGAUUUAUUUAUUGGGGAGUGCCAGUUGGGUGAGGCCCUGCACUCUUAAAAGUUAUCCAGGGAUUGCACCUGCAAAGGGAUUUGCAGCCACAGUUAAACAUUGACGGUUCACUAUGUGAAGGUCCUUUCUGAUAUUUGUGUUGGAUGUUUAAGAAAAGAUACAGAACUGGAUGGCAACUGUUGCAUUUUCUUUUUUCCUCCUAGACCCUGACUAAAGCUUGAAAUGCUACAUUUUCAAGGUGAAGAAGUAUGGGCACAUAUUAUGGCAAAUUAAAAUCAUCUCACUUCAUGAAAAAAAAAAAACUGUCUUGUUCAUAAAUUGACAAUGCCAAUAAAUUGAUGUAUGGCUCACUCUUA
Molecule: long non-coding RNA, 3368 nt
Filed under: Marmota monax (woodchuck)
Lineage: Eukaryota; Metazoa; Chordata; Mammalia; Rodentia; Sciuridae
Source: RNAcentral